AGCGAACGCUGGCGGCAGGCCUAACACAUGCCAGUCGAACGAACUCUUCGGAGUUAGUGGCGGACGGGUGAGUAACACGUGGGAACGUGCCUUUUGGUUCGGAAUAACUCAGGGAAACUUGUGCUAAUACCGAAUGUGCCCUUCGGGGGAAAGAUUUUUCGCCAUUAAAGCGGCCCGCGUCUGAUUAGCUAGUUGGUGAGGUAACGGCUCACCAAGGCGACGAUCAGUAGCUGGUCUGAGAGGAUGACCAGCCACACUGGGACUGAGACACGGCCCAGACUCCUACGGGAGGCAGCAGUGGGGAAUCUUGCGCAAUGGGCGAAAGCCUGACGCAGCCAUGCCGCGUGAAUGAUGAAGGUCUUAGGAUUGUAAAAUUCUUUCACCGGGGACGAUAAUGACGGUACCCGGAGAAGAAGCCCCGGCUAACUUCGUG
This 433-nucleotide ribosomal RNA is filed under the name uncultured bacterium. RNAcentral's name for it is "partial 16S ribosomal RNA". It matches the Rfam family "Bacterial small subunit ribosomal RNA", at positions 29 to 507 of the family's 1533-position model. The record is from RNAcentral.